GUGGUGGUCGAAAAUGGCGGUUAUCCUCUAGUGUCCUCAUUUUUACAUCAAAAAGGUGAAUAUAAAUUGAAGUAAUUUUUUUGGGAGAAGAAUAUGCAGAUAUAGUACUGAGUCGAGGGUUUCAAGACUAAACAGUAGCAAAUUUAUUCCAUUCUAACUGCAGUGUGUCAUCAGAAAUUUCAAAGCACACAAUCCGGAUAAUUUUCAGCAGACUCGAAAAGCUGUUAUUAAGAAAAUUGGAAAAAUAUACAGUAGAAAAAGAGUUUCUUCAUAAAAGUAUCAUCCUGUGCCUCUUUGAUAAAAUCAGCAAUUGCUUUCCUGGUGUUCAAUAAAAAUUAAUAUCUCUAAACAAAAAAAUGUCGAAAAAAUUCAAAAUAAGUAUAUUUUCUUGAAGGAUUGUUUUUCAAAUGAAAAUUUAAAUCGAAGUCCACAUACACAAUUCCCCAGAGUUACUUGGCUAAAAGAAAAUCACUUUAACUAUCAAAUGUGGCAAUUUGGAUCAUUAAAGAAAACAAAGACUUCAAUUCGUCACCUAACAAGAAAAAACAAAAAAAAUUUUAAGUAGAGGAACAAUUCUGACAAAUUAAAUCGAUUCAUUUUUAGAACUAGUUAGAGUCAAUGCGGUUUAUAAAUAAAAAUAGUAAUUGAAUUAAAAUUAGAGUCAGUGCGGGUCAUUAAAUAUUUUUAUUCUAUUAUAGAUUUUUUUAAUUUAUAAACAGUGUUUUGAAAAAAUUUUUUAAAUUUAAAUCAGUGUCGUAUUGAAAAUUGAAUUUGGAAGGAUUCCCAUCAGGCAUCGAUCUAUUCCAACUAAGGAGCUUUUUCAGGAUUGAAGGACAGAAAGGAUGAUUUGGAGAGGCACUUAUCCUGAUGGGGCGAUUUUUAGAUUCUGCGACGAGAAUAUUCAGCAUCGGUGAGUCCCUCCUGUCUCUA
Molecule: long non-coding RNA, 930 nt
Organism: Leptopilina boulardi
Lineage: Eukaryota; Metazoa; Arthropoda; Insecta; Hymenoptera; Figitidae
Exons: 5
Source: RefSeq, a predicted model, not a curated record